GGAGUUGGUCAGGCGAUCGCUGUGUGACGUAUGUCACGCGGAGGAAAGUCCGGGCUCCACAGGGCAGAGUGCCAGGUAACGCCUGGGGGGUGUGAGCCUACGGAAAGUGCAGCAGAAAGUAUACCGCCUGGCGACUUGUCCUCAGGU
This 147-nucleotide RNase P RNA is filed under the name Halieaceae bacterium. Its description in RNAcentral is "partial RNase P RNA component class A". It matches the Rfam family "Bacterial RNase P class A", at positions 1 to 149 of the family's 367-position model. Rfam says of the family: Ribonuclease P (RNase P) is a ubiquitous endoribonuclease, found in archaea, bacteria and eukarya as well as chloroplasts and mitochondria. Its best characterised activity is the generation of mature 5'-ends of tRNAs by cleaving the 5'-leader elements of precursor-tRNAs. Cellular RNase Ps are ribonucleoproteins. The record is from RNAcentral. Lineage: Bacteria; Pseudomonadati; Pseudomonadota; Gammaproteobacteria; Cellvibrionales; Halieaceae.